GGACUGAGACACGGCCCAGACUCCUACGGGAGGCAGCAGUAGGGAAUCUUCCGCAAUGGACGAAAGUCUGACGGAGCAACGCCGCGUGAGUGAUGAAGGUUUUCGGAUCGUAAAGCUCUGUUGUUAGGGAAGAACAAGUGCGAGAGUAACUGCUCGCACCUUGACGGUACCUAACCAGAAAGCCACGGCUAACUACGUGCCAGCAGCCGCGGUAAUACGUAGGUGGCAAGCGUUGUCCGGAAUUAUUGGGCGUAAAGGGCUCGCAGGCGGUUUCUUAAGUCUGAUGUGAAAGCCCCCCGGCUCAACCGGGGAGGGUCAUUGGAAACUGGGAAACUUGAGUGCAGAAGAGGAGAGUGGAAUUCCACGUGUAGCGGUGAAAUGCGUAGAGAUGUGGAGGAACACCAGUGGCGAAGGCGACUCUCUGGUCUGUAACUGACGCUGAGGAGCGAAAGCGUGGGGAGCGAACAGGAUUAGAUACCCUGGUAGUCCACGCCGUAAACGAUGAGUGCUAAGUGUUAGGGGGUUUCCGCCCCUUAGUGCUGCAGCUAACGCAUUAAGCACUCCGCCUGGGGAGUACGGUCGCAAGACUGAAACUCAAAGGAAUUGACGGGGGCCCGCACAAGCGGUGGAGCAUGUGGUUUAAUUCGAAGCAACGCGAAGAACCUUACCAGGUCUUGACAUCCUCUGACAACCCUAGAGAUAGGGCUUUCCCUUCGGGGACAGAGUGACAGGUGGUGCAUGGUUGUCGUCAGCUCGUGUCGUGAGAUGUUGGGUUAAGUCCCGCAACGAGCGCAACCCUUGAUCUUAGUUGCCAGCAUUUAGUUGGGCACUCUAAGGUGACUGCCGGUGACAAACCGGAGGAAGGUGGGGAUGACGUCAAAUCAUCAUGC
RNAcentral lists this ribosomal RNA (890 nucleotides) under Bacillus pumilus. Its description in RNAcentral is "bacterial SSU rRNA". It matches the Rfam family "Bacterial small subunit ribosomal RNA", at positions 316 to 1198 of the family's 1533-position model. Lineage: Bacteria; Bacillati; Bacillota; Bacilli; Caryophanales; Bacillaceae. The record is from RNAcentral.